Molecule: ribosomal RNA, 404 nt
Filed under: uncultured Leptolyngbya sp.
Lineage: Bacteria; Bacillati; Cyanobacteriota; Cyanophyceae; Leptolyngbyales; Leptolyngbyaceae
Description: bacterial SSU rRNA
Rfam family: Bacterial small subunit ribosomal RNA
Source: RNAcentral
AACGGUCGCUAAUACCCAAUAUGCCGAGAGGUGAAACUUAUAUGGCCAGGGGAUGAGCUCGCGUCUGAUUAGCUAGUUGGAGUGGUAACGGCACACCAAGGCGACGAUCAGUAGCUGGUCUGAGAGGAUGAUCAGCCACACUGGGACUGAGACACGGCCCAGACUCCUACGGGAGGCAGCAGUGGGGAAUUUUCCGCAAUGGGCGAAAGCCUGACGGAGCAAGACCGCGUGAGGGAGGAAGGCCUACUGGUUGUAAACCUCUUUUGAUAGGGAAGAAGAAAGUGACGGUACCUAUCGAAUCAGCAUCGGCUAACUCCGUGCCAGCAGCCGCGGUAAUACGGAGGAUGCAAGCAUUAUCCGGAAUUAUUGGGCGUAAAGCGUCCGUAGGUGGUUAUUCAAGUCAG